AUUGAACGCUGGCGGCAUGCUUUACACAUGCAAGUCGAACGGCAGCACGGGCUUCGGCCUGGUGGCGAGUGGCGAACGGGUGAGUAAUAUAUCGGAACGUACCCAGAAGUGGGGGAUAACGUAGCGAAAGUUACGCUAGUACCGCAUACGAUCUAUGGAUGAAAGCAGGGGACCGCAAGGCCUUGUGCUCCUGGAGCGGCCGAUAUCUGAUUAGCUAGUUGGUGAGGUAAAGGCUCACCAAGGCGACGAUCAGUAGCUGGUCUGAGAGGACGACCAGCCACACUGGAACUGAGACACGGUCCAGACUCCUACGGGAGGCAGCAGUGGGGAAUUUUGGACAAUGGGCGCAAGCCUGAUCCAGCAAUGCCGCGUGAGUGAAGAAGGCCUUCGGGUUGUAAAGCUCUUUUGUCAGGGAAGAAACGGUAGAGGCUAAUAUCCUUUGCUAAUGACGGUACCUGAAGAAUAAGCACCGGCUAACUACGUG
This 484-nucleotide ribosomal RNA is filed under the name uncultured bacterium. Its description in RNAcentral is "partial 16S ribosomal RNA". It matches the Rfam family "Bacterial small subunit ribosomal RNA", at positions 30 to 507 of the family's 1533-position model. The record is from RNAcentral.